Molecule: unclassified non-coding RNA, 543 nt
Filed under: Hevea brasiliensis (rubber tree)
Lineage: Eukaryota; Viridiplantae; Streptophyta; Magnoliopsida; Malpighiales; Euphorbiaceae
Source: RNAcentral
GAAAUAUUUUACAGAUUAAUCAGCUAGCUUAACUAAGGUAAAAACUAUAAAACUUGAGUUUGGGAUUACCUUUGUAGAUUCUACUAUCUAGAACACGUCCAAAAAGUCUGAAAAUGCUAGAAAUGACUGUAAUAUUGAUUAUUUUCUAAGAUGGACUGUCGAGUGUCUGGAUCAGGCUGGAAAGUCAGUCCCGAGCACCGAUGAGCUAUCGUUGAUCCAAUUGCAUAUCCGAGAUGCCCAUUAGCUGGUGGUGACAAAUCCGCAAAUAGUUCAUCAAAACUCUACUUCGAUCUCUCGAUAUUGACCGAUUUAGUUUAUGCCAUCCAAUGAGUAUCUUCUCAAUCCGGCCUCCAAUCAAGGCGUGGUUGGUGUCAAAUUGAAGCUUGAGAAGAUUAGAUGAAGAUUACCAGGCCUGAUCAUCCAUUCUAGUCACUGAUUGCCAGAGAUCUAGCCGGAAAGCUUGAAAAACCAAAAACUUUUCUCCUUCAUAACUUUUUCCUCCGAUCACCAUUUGAUGCAAAAUUGAUCCCAAAAGAAAGCUCA